Molecule: non-coding RNA, 259 nt
Organism: Ciona intestinalis (vase tunicate)
Lineage: Eukaryota; Metazoa; Chordata; Ascidiacea; Phlebobranchia; Cionidae
Source: RefSeq, a predicted model, not a curated record
UACUGGUAUUGGUGAACAGCGGCGAAUGUGUGUUUCCUGAUAAAAGCUUAAUAAGAAGUCGAAGAUAUAUGAAAUACUGGAAACAUUAUGACUAUAGAUCAAAGAGGCAAGACGAGACAGAAGAAAUAAGAGUUACCCAAGAAUGGAAGCCCGUAGGUUUAAGGGUGUUGAGAGAAAAUAAAAUCGAAAAUGUGUUGACGCAAUAAUAUGAUUCUUACUGAAAAACGUUGAUUGCGUUCAAAUAAACGAACUAAACUUA